CUCACUUUAAUUUAAUUCACACACAUUCCGACACAUGUUCCGGGGUGCCUCAACUGUCAAACUAUCUGUGCUUAAACAAAUAGAUGUUAGGGGUCGGAGUCAUGGGGAGUGUGGAGGCCUAAC
Molecule: small RNA, 123 nt
Filed under: Vibrio genomosp. F10
Lineage: Bacteria; Pseudomonadati; Pseudomonadota; Gammaproteobacteria; Vibrionales; Vibrionaceae
Description: Vibrio sp. F10 t44 RNA
Rfam family: t44 RNA
About the family: This family consists of a number of bacterial RNA genes of between 135 and 170 bases in length. The t44 gene is found between the map and rpsB genes in all species in the full alignment apart from Shigella flexneri.
Source: Rfam by way of RNAcentral